GUUGUUGGGCUUGAUUAAGCAAUUUGGGCCAUUCUCAUUGGCUCCCAGCCUCCUCCUCCACAUUUCAGUUGUCAAAAACCUCUCCCAACUCUCGACUCUAUUCUUCUCCCAAGUCCCAACACUCCUCCCUGCAUUACAAUUCCAUCAACCUUUGGUUUCUCCAUCCAAAUCAGAUCAAAGACCAAACCUUUAAUCCAUCCCACGUUUUUUGACAAUCUUGAUGACCCAGAUGUGAAUGGCUCAAGGUGAUGUCCUGAAAUUGGUGUUUGCGGUUGGAGUUUGGUGUGCUGCUUACGUCACCGUUGCUGUUCUUGCUUCGUUUCGUGUUUUGAGCUACGUCUGCAGCUGCGCGCUAUGAAUCUGGUGCUGAAUGUCAAGUGGGUCGUGGAGUAUCUGCAAUGCUUACAGUUAUUCUUGGCCAGAGUGGUUACACUAUGGAGAAGAGCCAGGAGAAGAUUCAACUAGGCAUUAAAGGGCUUGAGAAUAUCACAGUUGCGGAAAGUUUCAUUUAACACAGAACUACACCAAGACGUUGCUUCUUUCUAUGGAAGAUAUACAUAUUUCCCAAUGAAGCUUACUGAGAUGAGAUUGACUUUCAAUUAGGCGUAAUGCAAAGGCGAGAAAGGUGUUCAAUUUUCUAUUAAAGAAAGUGUACCUUGCUUAAAAUGCCAUUGUCAAGCAUCCAGUCUGUUGGUAUUUGGUAAUCCCUACAAUGACGCAUCAAGGACUCCCUUGUUCGGAGAAUAUUGUAAACUGUACGCUCCAUCCUGCAAGAGACAAGGCAACCAUUUUCUUGAGUGCAAUAUCACAGGGCAAUCGAGUAUCAUCUUUGAAAGAAGACACUUCAAGGUCCAGUUUCUUCAGAUCUCUAUAGCCAAAUGCUGCUUCUCGCAGUGUGUCUGCUUUCUUUUCUGGCCAAUCAAAGUGCUUUAGGACUGCUCUUUCGUCCAC
Rosa rugosa (rugosa rose) is the source of this 951-nucleotide long non-coding RNA. RefSeq lists it as uncharacterized. The transcript is spliced from 6 exons. The record is from RefSeq and is a predicted model, not a curated record. NCBI's taxonomy places the organism in Eukaryota, Viridiplantae, Streptophyta, Magnoliopsida, Rosales, Rosaceae.